UUAAGUUCAGCGGGUAUCCCCGCCUGAUCCGAGGCCAAACCUUGUAAAAAUUUUGGGGUCAAUCGGCGACCCACCUAUUGGACACGCGAAGCGAGGGAAAAAAAUUCUUGCUACGCUCGCGGCCAGUAGGGGGCGCCUAAAGGUUUGGGGCUUGACAGCACGUCAUGGCCCAACAUCAAGCAAGGCUUGGGGGGUGUAAU
This 200-nucleotide unclassified non-coding RNA is filed under the name fungal sp. Its description in RNAcentral is "partial internal transcribed spacer 2". The record is from RNAcentral. Lineage: Eukaryota; Fungi.